Long non-coding RNA from Artibeus jamaicensis (Jamaican fruit-eating bat), 523 nucleotides. RefSeq lists it as uncharacterized. The transcript has 4 exons. NCBI's taxonomy places the organism in Eukaryota, Metazoa, Chordata, Mammalia, Chiroptera, Phyllostomidae. The record is from RefSeq and is a predicted model, not a curated record.
CCGGGUAAGAAAAUGCCUGAAAUAGAUGCUGUACCACAUCUUUGUAAGCUUCUCCGGUCCUUGCAGAAGCAACGAGAGCGUGUGGAGGCUGAUAGGCGACUAUGUUAGUGUGUAGUAUCUGGCCCAGGGUAUUUAGCAGCAUCUGUGGCCUCUACCUGCUGCUGCGACUCUCAUCAGACCUUGGGCACAACAGGCUUUGGAAGCCAGACAUUUGGAAGGUCCCCUGAGCUCGGGACCAUUAAAUGCCAAGGAAAUACGGGGAGACACCAUGGCCUCUGCCGCAAAGUCCUUCCGCGGCGCUCAGACACACUCGUGUGCCACGUCAGUUCACGCCAGACUGCCACUGGAAACUAGGAUCUCAAGUCCCGCCAAACCUGACCCGCAGGUUCCUCAGGGGACGCUGAGAGUGGUGGUGAGGGAGGCCAGUGGACUGCUGUCCCUCGGUGCCGCCCAUCAGGGACCCAGCACCUCGACCCCUCGCAGUCCAGCUGGCGCCUCAGCGGCAGCGUUUGGCCCCUGCAGU